RNAcentral lists this ribosomal RNA (300 nucleotides) under uncultured Lactobacillus sp. RNAcentral's name for it is "bacterial SSU rRNA". It matches the Rfam family "Bacterial small subunit ribosomal RNA", at positions 496 to 795 of the family's 1533-position model. The record is from RNAcentral. Lineage: Bacteria; Bacillati; Bacillota; Bacilli; Lactobacillales; Lactobacillaceae.
GCUAAUAUGGGGCCGGAAGCCGCGGUAUUCCGGAGGUUCCAAACGUUAGCCGGAUUGAUUGGGCGUAAAGCGAGCGCAGACGGUUAUUUAAGUCUGAAGUGAAAGCCCUCAGUGCAACUGAGGAAUUGCUUUGGAAACUGGAUGACUUGAGUGCAGUAGAGGAAAGUGGAACUCCAUGUGUAGCGGUGAAAUGCGUAGAUAUAUGGAAGAACACCAGUGGCGAAGGCGGCUUUCUGGACUGUAACUGACGUUGAGGCUCGAAAGUGUGGGUAGCAAACAGGAUUAGAUACCCCGGUAGUC